AUGAAAACCUCUGGCGAGGUUCCCUUUUAUCACUCGUUGCCCGUGCCAGGAGCUCAAGACAGCCUCAAGGAUCAGAUCCACUCCAAGGUUAUGGGCACGAUAGGCAAUGUCAUGAACUCCAUUGAUCGAAAGGCACUGCCUCAGCAACUGGAAGGGGCAUGGGAAACAGCUGGAAAUGUCGUUAACUCCCUCGAGUCAAAACUGUCCGGGCAGAAGCCGUUUGAUUUUGACGGCGGAAAUGAUUUUCUUGAUGGAUACGAAUGUCCUGAUGAUUAUUGGGAGUAUGAACAGCACAAGGCACAAAAGCCAGUUAACAUUAGAAACCUGCUGGGUGGUAUAGUUGCUAUCAUUGGCCGCAGUUGCAAAAAUGAUGACAUUCAACAAUCAAAGGAGGCUAAGACUAGUGUCUCAUUCUUGGGGUCAGGCAGUGAUGGAGAUGCAUCCUUGCAUUCGUCAGUCUACGCACCAAGUGCUCCUCCUUUGCUGGAUGAAGAAGCCUUGAGUUACAAUAUUUAUAGGGUUGUUUUAGAGGCAGAACCACCAGAAUGGCUGCCCGACAGCUAUGCUGACUCGUGCAUGCAGUGUUCUGCUUCUUUCACUGCCAUUACUCGUGGAAGGCAUCAUUGUCGAUUCUGUGGAGGGAUAUUUUGCAAGGCAUGUUCAAAAGGCAGAUGUCUUUUGCCAGCCAAGUUUCGUGAGCGAAACCCACAGAGGGUCUGCGAUGCAUGCUAUGAUAGGCUUGAUCCAUUGCAGAACUUACUGAUAAAUUCUGUCAGCAAUGCGACACAAACUGCAAAGCAUGAUGUUAUGGAUUGGACUUCUGCGAGAGGGUGGUUGAAUUUGCCUAUUGGAUUAACAUUGGAACAUGAGAUAUACAAGGCAGCAGUAUCCCUUAGGAGCUACAGUCAGGUUUCAAGGAUAAACCCGGGAAAAUCUAUUCCGCAUGCAGUCCUUAGUGGAGCAAGUGGACUUGCUAUCUUGACAGUUGUAAAAGCUGGUGCAUUUCUUACAUACAAACUUGGAACUGGCUUAGUAGUUGCUCGUAGAUCAGAUGGAUCAUGGUCUCCACCCUCUGCUAUAGCUUCAGCUGGAUUAGGAUGGGGAGCACAGCUUGGUGGUGAGUUGAUGGAUUUCAUCAUAGUGCUUCAUGGCCUUGAAGCUGUGAAAACCUUCAGCAGCCGAAUGCAUUUUUCACUCGGUGCAGGUUUAAGUGCUGCAGCAGGACCUGUUGGUAGAGUAUUAGAAGCUGAUGUGAGAGCUGGUAAUAAAGGUUCUGGAGUUUGCUAUACAUAUAGUCACAGCAAAGGCGCAUUUAUCGGGGUUUCUCUAGAAGGGAACAUUGUUACCACCAGGAUGGAUGCCAAUCUGCGGUUCUACGGCGACCCGUAUCUGACGACCAGUGAUAUACUUAUGGGGAAUCUGGAGCAACCAAAUGCUGCUAAAUUUCUGUACCAAGCGUUGGAUGACCUAUACUCGGGUCUGGAUUGUUAG
Molecule: ribosomal RNA, 1491 nt
Filed under: Triticum aestivum (bread wheat)
Lineage: Eukaryota; Viridiplantae; Streptophyta; Magnoliopsida; Poales; Poaceae
Description: partial small subunit ribosomal RNA
Source: RNAcentral